AGACGCUGAGGGGGAUCGAACCCCCGUCAUACCUCACAUGAGGCUGGCACGCUAUCCACUGCGCCAUACCACC
Molecule: non-coding RNA, 73 nt
Organism: Oesophagostomum dentatum (nodular worm)
Lineage: Eukaryota; Metazoa; Nematoda; Chromadorea; Rhabditida; Strongylidae
Source: the annotation of a GenBank genome assembly